Molecule: ribosomal RNA, 560 nt
Filed under: Cyphomyrmex sp. NJM-2010 fungal symbiont NJM-2012
Lineage: Eukaryota; Fungi; Basidiomycota; Agaricomycetes; Agaricales; Agaricaceae
Description: eukaryotic LSU rRNA
Rfam family: 5.8S ribosomal RNA (bases 190-343)
Source: RNAcentral
UCUCCGUUGGUGAACCAGCGGAGGGAUCAUUACAGAGUUAUUACAACUCCCCAACCCCUGUGAACAUACCUCUUGUUGCCUCGGCGGACCGCCCCGGCGCCCUCGCGGCCCGGACCCAGGCGCCCGCCGGAGGACCUACAAACUCUUGUAUUAUUUGAAUCUUCUGAGUCUUAUAAACAAAUAAAUCAAAACUUUCAACAACGGAUCUCUUGGUUCUGGCAUCGAUGAAGAACGCAGCGAAAUGCGAUAAGUAAUGUGAAUUGCAGAAUUCAGUGAAUCAUCGAAUCUUUGAACGCACAUUGCGCCCGCGAGUAUUCUCGCGGGCAUGCCUGUUCGAGCGUCAUUUCAACCCUCAAACCCCCGGGUUUGGUGUUGGGGAUCGGCGGCCGCGGCCCUCUACGGGCCCGCGCCGGCCCCGAAAUCUAGUGGCGGUCUCGCUUGCAGCCUCCUCUGCGUAGUAGUAACAUUCUCGCACCGGAGCGCGGGCGCGGCCACGCCGUUAAACACCCCACUUCUGAAAGGUUGACCUCGGAUCAGGUAGGAAUACCCGCUGAACUUAA